Molecule: ribosomal RNA, 440 nt
Filed under: uncultured bacterium
Lineage: Bacteria
Description: bacterial SSU rRNA
Rfam family: Bacterial small subunit ribosomal RNA
Source: RNAcentral
CCUACGGGCGGCUGCAGUGGGGAAUCUUGCGCAAUGGUCUAACGACUGACGCAGCGACGCCGCGUGUGGGAGGACGCCUUUCGGGGUGUAAACCGCUGUUGCCCGGGACGAACACCUCUUUUCGAAGAGGCUGACGGUACCGGGUGAGGAAGCACCGGCUAACUCCGUGCCAGCAGCCGCGGUAAUACGGAGGGUGCGAGCGUUGUCCGGAAUCAUUGGGCGUAAAGGGCGCGUAGGUGGCCCGGUCAGUCUUUGGUGAAAGCGCGGGGCUCAACCCUGCGUCGGCCAGGGAUACUGCCGCGGCUCGAGCACUGUAGAGGCAGGCGGAAUUCCGGGUGUAGCGGUGGAAUGCGUAGAGAUCCGGAAGAACACCGGUGGCGAAGGCGGCUUGCUGGGCAGUUUAGCUGACACUGAGGCGCGACAGCGUGGGGGAGCAAACA